This is a long non-coding RNA of Fundulus heteroclitus (mummichog), 208 nucleotides long. RefSeq lists it as uncharacterized. Lineage: Eukaryota; Metazoa; Chordata; Actinopteri; Cyprinodontiformes; Fundulidae. The transcript has 3 exons. The record is from RefSeq and is a predicted model, not a curated record.
CAGGGAGCAUACAGAUGAGUUGAUAAAACUCCGUGGGCAAAAUGACCACCUCUUUACCGGGGCCAAAAACACUGCCACAGUCGGAUGGAGAACAAUCCUGCAAAAAACGGGUCUGGAGGGUGAAGUUGAGCCACAACAGGCCAAAAAAAGUGGGACAACUUGGAAAAAAAAUACAAAGAAUGCAAAGAUCCAGGGACAGGGCAGGGGG